Molecule: ribosomal RNA, 1433 nt
Filed under: uncultured organism
Description: 16S ribosomal RNA
Rfam family: Bacterial small subunit ribosomal RNA
Source: RNAcentral
CAGGCUUAACACAUGCAAGUCGAGGGGCAGCAUGGUCUUAGCUUGCUAAGGCCGAUGGCGACCGGCGCACGGGUGAGUAACACGUAUCCAACCUGCCGUCUACUCUUGGACAGCCUUCUGAAAGGAAGAUUAAUACAAGAUGGCAUCAUGAGUCCACAUGUUCACAUGAUUAAAGGUAUUCCGGUAGACGAUGGGGAUGCGUUCCAUUAGAUAGUAGGCGGGGUAACGGCCCACCUAGUCUUCGAUGGAUAGGGGUUCUGAGAGGAAGGUCCCCCACAUUGGAACUGAGACACGGUCCAAACUCCUACGGGAGGCAGCAGUGAGGAAUAUUGGUCAAUGGGCGAGAGCCUGAACCAGCCAAGUAGCGUGAAGGAUGACUGCCCUAUGGGUUGUAAACUUCUUUUAUAAAGGAAUAAAGUCGGGUAUGCAUACCCGUUUGCAUGUACUUUAUGAAUAAGGAUCGGCUAACUCCGUGCCAGCAGCCGCGGUAAUACGGAGGAUCCGAGCGUUAUCCGGAUUUAUUGGGUUUAAAGGGAGCGUAGAUGGAUGUUUAAGUCAGUUGUGAAAGUUUGCGGCUCAACCGUAAAAUUGCAGUUGAUACUGGAUAUCUUGAGUGCAGUUGAGGCAGGCGGAAUUCGUGGUGUAGCGGUGAAAUGCUUAGAUAUCACGAAGAACUCCGAUUGCGAAGGCAGCCUGCUAAGCUGCAACUGACAUUGAGGCUCGAAAGUGUGGGUAUCAAACAGGAUUAGAUACCCUGGUAGUCCACACGGUAAACGAUGAAUACUCGCUGUUUGCGAUAUACAGCAAGCGGCCAAGCGAAAGCGUUAAGUAUUCCACCUGGGGAGUACGCCGGCAACGGUGAAACUCAAAGGAAUUGACGGGGGCCCGCACAAGCGGAGGAACAUGUGGUUUAAUUCGAUGAUACGCGAGGAACCUUACCCGGGCUUAAAUUGCAGAUGAAUUACGGUGAAAGCCGUAAGCCGCAAGGCAUCUGUGAAGGUGCUGCAUGGUUGUCGUCAGCUCGUGCCGUGAGGUGUCGGCUUAAGUGCCAUAACGAGCGCAACCCUUGUUGUCAGUUACUAACAGGUUCCGCUGAGGACUCUGACAAGACUGCCAUCGUAAGAUGUGAGGAAGGUGGGGAUGACGUCAAAUCAGCACGGCCCUUACGUCCGGGGCUACACACGUGUUACAAUGGGGGGUACAGAGGGCCGCUACCACGCGAGUGGAUGCCAAUCCCAAAAACCUCUCUCAGUUCGGACUGGAGUCUGCAACCCGACUCCACGAAGCUGGAUUCGCUAGUAAUCGCGCAUCAGCCACGGCGCGGUGAAUACGUUCCCGGGCCUUGUACACACCGCCCGUCAAGCCAUGGGAGCCGGGGGUACCUGAAGUGCGUAACCGCGAGGAGCGCCCUAGGGUAAAACUGGUGACUGGGG